RNAcentral lists this ribosomal RNA (302 nucleotides) under uncultured bacterium. RNAcentral's name for it is "partial 16S ribosomal RNA". It matches the Rfam family "Bacterial small subunit ribosomal RNA", at positions 508 to 807 of the family's 1533-position model. The record is from RNAcentral.
GCAGUAGCCGCGGUAAUACGAAGGGUGCAAGCGUUACUCGGAAUUACCGGGCGUAAAGCGCGCGUAGGUGGUUUGUUAAGUUGGAUGUGAAAUCCCCGGGCUCAACCUGGGAACUGCAUUCAAAACUGACUGACUAGAGUAUGGUAGAGGGUGGUGGAAUUUCCUGUGUAGCGGUGAAAUGCGUAGAUAUAGGAAGGAACACCAGUGGCGAAGGCGACCACCUGGACUAAUACCGACACUGAGGUGCGAAAGCGUGGGGAGCAAACAGGAUUAGAUACCCCUGUAGUCCCUGUCUCUUAUAC